RNAcentral lists this ribosomal RNA (468 nucleotides) under uncultured bacterium. RNAcentral's name for it is "partial 16S ribosomal RNA". It matches the Rfam family "Bacterial small subunit ribosomal RNA", at positions 28 to 507 of the family's 1533-position model. The record is from RNAcentral.
GACGAACGCUGGCGGCGUGCUUAACACAUGCAAGUCGAACGGAAAGGCCCUGCUUUUGUGGGGUGCUCGAGUGGCGAACGGGUGUGUAACACGUGAGUAACCUGCCCUUGACUUUGGGAUAACUUCAGGAAACUGGGGCUAAUACCGGAUAGGAGCUCCUGCUGCAUGGUGGGGGUUGGAAAGUUUCGGCGGUUGGGGAUGGACUCGCGGCUUAUCAGCUUGUUGGUGGGGUAGUGGCUUACCAAGGCUUUGACGGGUAGCCGGCAUGAGAGGGUGACCGGCCACAUUGGGACUGAGAUACGGCCCAGACUCCUACGGGAGGCAGCAGUGGGGAAUAUUGCACAAUGGGCGGAAGCCUGAUGCAGCAACGCCGCGUGCGGGAUGACGGCCUUCGGGUUGUAAACCGCUUUCGCCUGUGACGAAGCGUGAGUGACGGUAAUGGGUAAAGAAGCACCGGCUAACUACGUG